Molecule: ribosomal RNA, 89 nt
Filed under: Klebsiella pneumoniae
Lineage: Bacteria; Pseudomonadati; Pseudomonadota; Gammaproteobacteria; Enterobacterales; Enterobacteriaceae
Description: partial 16S ribosomal RNA
Rfam family: Bacterial small subunit ribosomal RNA (bases 1-80)
Source: RNAcentral
UUACCACUUUGUGAUUCAUGACUGGGGUGAAGUCGUAACAAGGUAACCGUAGGGGAACCUGCGGUUGGAUCACCUCCUUACCUUAAAGA